GAGAAGAAUAUGGGGGUCUGGGGGGCAUAUAGGGGUACUGAAGGGUAUUCCGGAAGAUUCCUGGGGAGGCUGAGGAUAAUGGGCGGGUUCCCAGAGGUCAAAUGGGUCGUUCUGGGGGGGGCUGGAAAUAUUAAGAGGGUCUGGGAGAGCCUACAGGUUCCUGGAUGCUCCCCUUUCAUCCCACCCUUUGCUCAAAAUCCUUGAUUUUCCCCCCAUUUUGCAGCCAGGCUCUGCCACGGUGGCAAGGAGUCCCUGGGGACACUGGGGACCCCCCCCCCCCCACGUGUUUCCUGAAUGUGCCUCCCCCCCCCCAAAUGUCCUCCCCAAAAUUCACAUACACACUCGCGGAUGUAGCAAAGGACAAGCAGAACAGGGGGAUCCUUGAUUUAUUGGGGACCCCCCCCCCCUUACAAUAGAGGCUUCAACGCCCCAGGGCAGCUUGGGGGAACUGCCUCUCAAGCUCUGCUUUACAGGGGAAAAAAUAGCACUUUUGGGGUCCUUUGGGAUGAGAACAGGCUCUUUGGGGUGAGAAGAGCCAUUCUGAGGUCUUUUCAGAGGGAAACGUGGCAGUUUGUGGUGAGAAAAACUGGUUUCGGGUCCUUUUGGAGGGGAAGUCAGUCUGGGGCAAGAAAAGCCUUUUUGGGGUCUGUUAGGUACACAAGUUGGUGGUCUGGGGUGAGAAAAGCCCCUUUCAGAACAUUUUAGAGGGGCACGUGGCAUUUUGGGGUGAGAAAAGUUGUGUCAGAGUCCUUUUGGAGAAGAACAUGGCAGUUUAGGGUGAGAAGAGCAACAGUUGUGUCUUUUAAGAGGAACCUGGUGGUUUAGGAUGAGGAAAGCCAUUUUUAGAUCCUUCAGAAGGGGAACAGGCUUUUGGGGAUGAGAAAAGCCAGUUUUCAGUUCUUUUUGAGGAGACCCUGGCCAUCUGGGGUAAGAAAAGACAUUUUUUGGUCCUCUAGCACAGCAACAGGUGCUUUGGAACGAGAAAAGGUCAUUUCAGAGGGGAAUCUGGCAUUUGGGGCUGAGAAAAGCCAUGCGUGGGUCCUUUGGAAGGGGAGCACAGAAUUUUGGCUUGAUAAAAAUCUUGAUGGGCCUGAUGGGAGGGGAACCAGCAGGCUGGGAUCAGAUAAACCUUUUUGGGGUCUGGUUGGAGAGGAACAGUUGGUUUGGGGUGAGAACGGCCCUACUGUGGGCCUCCCUACAGGCAGCUGUCCUCCACCCUAUAGCCAGUUCUCCUCCACCCUAUGGCCAGGUGUUGUCCUCCACCCUAUGGAUGGUUCUUCUCGACCCUAUGAAUGGUUCUUCUUGACCCUAUGGAUGGUUCUCCACCCUAUAGCCGGUUGUUGGCCUCCACCCUAUGGAUGGUUCUUCUUGACCCUAUGGAUGGUUCUCCACCCUAUGGAUGAUUCUCCACCCUAUGGAUGGUUCUCCACCCUAUGACCAACUCUUGACCCCCCCCACCACCACCAAUUGGCGUCCUCCACCCUCCACCUGGUUCUCCCCCACCCUAUAUCCAGUUGUCCCCCGCACCUAUGCCUGCUCCUCUUUCUCCCCACGCCUCCCCACCCCCAAGCCUUCCUCCUCCUCCCCCU
Molecule: long non-coding RNA, 1589 nt
Filed under: Anas platyrhynchos platyrhynchos (common mallard)
Lineage: Eukaryota; Metazoa; Chordata; Aves; Anseriformes; Anatidae
Description: lncRNA (ENSAPLG00000017794.1)
Source: RNAcentral